GUUCCCAAAGCAUGUUAACCCAACCCAACCUUGAAUCCAACGACACAAGCAGCCUCAAGUGCGUCGAGGACGGUGGUGCGAAUCCGCAAGGAUGGUUCUGCGAUGCAACACCGAUGAUGCAAAUCCGCGAGGAAGAAGGUGCAAUGCGCAUCCAAGACCCGUCAUUGUGCGUGCGCACCAUCACCACCCUAAUCCACCUCUGUGCGCACGCAACAGCAGCGAC
This 223-nucleotide long non-coding RNA is filed under the name Glycine max (soybean). Its description in RNAcentral is "long non-coding RNA (GMAX_LNC003372)". Lineage: Eukaryota; Viridiplantae; Streptophyta; Magnoliopsida; Fabales; Fabaceae. The record is from RNAcentral.